UUCCGGUUGAUCCUGCCAGACCCGACUGCUAUUUGGGUGAGGAUAAGCCAUGCGAGUUGAAUGGGAAACCUAAAGUUCCCAUGGCAAACUGCUCAGUAACACAUGAUCAACUUACCCUAUAGAGAAAAAUAACCUCGGGAAACUGAGGAUAAUGUUUCAUAGUUGAAUUGGCUUGGAAAAGUUUUUCGACGAAAGGGGUAAAAAAAAUGGUUUUUAUCUGCUAUAGGAUAGGAUCGUGUUCGAUUAUGGUUGUUGGUGAGGUAAUGGCUCACCAAGCCGAUAAUCGAUAGGGGCCGUGAGAGCGGGAGCCCCGAGAUGGGUACUGAGACAACGACCCAGGCCUUACGAGGCGCAGCAGGCGCGAAACCUCCGCAAUACACGAAAGUGUGACGGGGUUACCCAAAGUGUUCAAUUUUGAACUGUGGUAGGUGAGUAAUGUUCCCUACUAGAAAGGAGAGGGCAAGGCUGGUGCCAGCCGCCGCGGUAAAACCAGCUCUUCAAGUGGUCGGGAUAAUUAUUGGGCUUAAAGUGUCCGUAGCCGGUUUAGUAAGUUCCUGGUAAAAUCGGGUAGCUUAACUAUCUAUAUGCUAGGAAUACUACUAUACUAGAGGGCGGGAGAGGUCUGAGGUACUGCAGGGGUAGGGGUGAAAUCUUAUAAUCCUUGUUGGACCACCAGUGGCGAAGGCGUCAGACUGGAACGCGCCUGACGGUGAGGGACGAAAGCCAGGGGAGCGAACCGGAUUAGAUACCCGGGUAGUCCUGGCCGUAAACGAUGCAUACUAGGUGAUGGCACGGCCAUGAGCGUGUCAGUGCCGUAGGGAAACCGUUAAGUGUGCCGCCUGGGAAGUACGGUCGCAAGGCUAAAACUUAAAGGAAUUGGCGGGGGAGCAC
Molecule: ribosomal RNA, 891 nt
Filed under: uncultured crenarchaeote
Lineage: Archaea; Thermoproteati; Thermoproteota
Description: bacterial SSU rRNA
Rfam family: Archaeal small subunit ribosomal RNA
Source: RNAcentral